AGUGAACGCUGGCGGUAGGCCUAACACAUGCAAGUCGAACGGCAGCACGGUAAGAGCUUGCUCUUACGGGUGGCGAGUGGCGGACGGGUGAGGAAUACAUAGGCAUCUACUUUUUCGUGGGGAAUUACGUAGGGCAGCUUACGCUAAUACCGCAUACGACCUACGGGUGAAAGCAGGGGAUCUUCGGGCCUUGCGCGAUUGAAUUAGCCGAUGCCGGAUUAGCUAGUUGGGGGGGUAAAGGCCCACCAAGGCGACGAUCCGUAGCGGGUCUGAGAGGAUGAUCAGCCACACUGGAACUGAGACACGGUCCAGACUCCUACGGGAGGCAGCAGUGGGGAAUAUUGGACAAUGGGCGCAAGCCUGAUCCAGCCAUACCGCGUGGGUGAAGAAGGUCUUCGGGUUGUAAAGCCCUGUUGUUGGGAAAGAAAAGCAGUAUGUUAAUACCCCGCUGUCCUGACGGUACCCAAAGAAUAAGCACCGGCUAACUUCGUG
This 492-nucleotide ribosomal RNA is filed under the name uncultured bacterium. Its description in RNAcentral is "partial 16S ribosomal RNA". It matches the Rfam family "Bacterial small subunit ribosomal RNA", at positions 29 to 507 of the family's 1533-position model. The record is from RNAcentral.